Molecule: long non-coding RNA, 1721 nt
Organism: Malaclemys terrapin pileata
Lineage: Eukaryota; Metazoa; Chordata; Testudines; Emydidae
Exons: 4
Source: RefSeq, a predicted model, not a curated record
GAUCGGUGCCCCCAGGUAGCGUGGUGCCCUAGGCGGUUGCCUGUUCUGUCUAUGGCUAAGGACGGCCCUGCAGAGAAGGGAGGUGCAUUUGGGCUGGUAAACCCAGGGGGCAGCCAGGGAGGUAGGAAAGGGCUCAAGAAAAGACAGUAGGGCCUAGAAGAGAACAGACCUUGACUACUUUCUAGAGUGUCCCUCAGCUGGAACCCAGGCUAGAGAGUGGGCCCGGGUUCCCGCCAGCCACUGAGGGAGUGGCACCAUGGGCCAGUGAAUGGGAAGACUUCCCAGGACUGCUGAAGGAAGACUUUGAUACCCCAAAAAGGGACAAUGCAGAUAGUGACCUGGCCAGAGGGCUGAAUCAUGACAAGGCAGCAGCAGCUCGUGGAGUUACAGAGGAGCUGCAGACCCAGAGAGACAGAGUGCAACUGUGGGAAUGGGCGUCAACCUUGUGAGCUAUCCCCCAGAACAACCAGGAGGCGGCGCCAUCCUAGCGGUGGGACUAUUACAGGAGGCUGGCCAGUUUGGCUUUCUAGGUCUCCCGCAGUAGCUCCAUGUCUGGGAUGCGCAUAAAACAAAAAGCCUGCGUUCCACCCCAAAAACCUCUGUUUUCAUUUCACAGGGCAGAGGAUUGACUCAUCCGCUCUCAUUAAAAUUAGCAAGAGAAGUUGUGGCGUUGACGGUAGCAUAGCCCAGCGGAUAGAGUAUUAAACUAGGAGUCAGGCUGGCUGGAUUCUGUCCCUGGCACUGCUAUGUGACCUGAGGAUAGAAGGCACCAAAUAAGAGAUGGACCAUUAGGAUGGAUGGAUGGGGGUCCCCCUACAGUGUGGAAAAGUCCUACAAAGCUGAAUUUGAUCUUGCAGGGUCCAUGACCACACACGGUGGUGUCAGAGACACAGGCCUGUGGGCAGGCAGGAGGAGAAGCUGGAUUACAAUGGUCACAACAAUAGCAAGGGGAAUGCAUGUUACUGGCAAGGGAAAUUGCUUUUUGCCUAAGAAAAGGGGCAUUGUUUGGUGGUUAGAGAGGGGGAGAAGGGUAGGUUUUCCUCCCAGGGAAGCUACCCGCAUUAGAAAAGACCUCCCUCUACCGUUCCUAUGCUGCCAUGGAAAGGGGAGUGUAGAGUAGUGGUUGGAGUUGGGAAUUGCAGGCCCUGUGUUCCGGCUCGGACACUAACCACAGGCCUCAGUGUUUCCAUGGUAACAACACUACUCACUGCACCUUUGCAAGGUGCUUUGAGCUCCCUGGGAUAAAGGGCGUGAGAUAAAGGUAGAGGGUUAUUUGUGUUUAGGGAUACCUUGGCUUUAUGAAAAUAAAAACUCAAAAGAAAGGCAAAACCCCCUCUGGUCAAUUAAAUUAAAGACGCGAAUACCCCUAAUUACCACAAGAUGCUCCCCAAGUCAGACAGCAGCUCAUCAAGCGGAUGUGCUCACAUUCUAUUUCCUCAGCCUCCAGCUUGCGUGGGCAGAUUCCAGCACCAGCCACUAAAUAAAAAUUGUCUAACAAGUGUCGACAUUGAGAAACUGCCUUGGCUUUCGGUCCCUGCAUUUUUCCCAUCCUCCAGGCCAAGUUGCAAACAUUUUGUCUGCAUUAUUCACAACAGAAAGAGCUUGUUUAAAAAAAAAGUCCAUAAAAGCAACUGCUCGAAAGGAGAGUUUGCAUUCCUUGAAGUCCUUCUGUGUUGUAGAAGACCUGCAAAGGGGUAGAUUUGAUCUUUUACGGUGAAACC